GCGUUUGAAGCUUACGGGAUCAGUUGGAUUGCUGGUUUGGACCUGUGGUGUGGGGCCUCCACCUUUGGCUUUAAUAAGCUGUGAGUAACAAAUUUGAAAUAAAACCUUAACUGGUGAGUAAAAGACGACCAUCCACCUACCUGUCACCAGUAAUAUCUGCAGUUUUUUACAAAAUAAUUAAGAUGACCAAUGUAACAAUAGGAGUAACACAAAAGACCAAACGCAAGACAGGAGACCACGGGCAAGAUCAUGACCCCCCCACCCCACCCCAGGAGCAGAUUCCAGAUGCUCCAAAAUAAACACAUAAAAUCCAGGAGGUUCAGGUCCAUGUGCCAAAGGAGGGCCUGGAGACUGAGGCAGAGCUGGCCGAGCAGGGUGCCAGGGUGGAGCAGAAGACCACCACAGAGCAGACGGGAUUGAAGAUUCCCAUGGAGGAGUGGAUGACCAGAGCAUAGUCCAGACCGCAGCCAUGAUGGAGGCCCACGGUGGAGUCAAUGGAUGGAGGAGCCAUGGUGGAAGAAGGGCUAUUGCCACCAGGGGCCCAACUGACGGAGACAGAGCCUAGGGCAGAGACAGAGAGACACAGAGCCAAGGCAACACUGAGGAUUCGGAGGGCCAUGGUGGAGCUUACGGCCCAGGUGACUGAGGCGCAGGUGAAGAUCUGGAAGACUGUGGUGGAGCCGGAGCGACAGAGAACCAAGGUGCAGCCCAGGGGAGAGAGGAGUCCAAUGGAGCCAGAGGAGUGAAGGGACGAGGCGAAGCUGGAGGAGUGUAGUCCUUAAAGGAGCCGUAUGUAGGAUUGUGGCCUAAACUGGUACUGCAAUCACUAUAAAAAUACUGUAGAGCGGUGUAUCCCCUCCCCCUACCCCCUGACUCGAGGUGGCCAGAUGAGCUGCAGGAUUCAGCAGAAACGUAGGCUGCUUCAAUGAGCUUCCAAUGGCAAAUUAACGAACAGAAGUACACACUCCUUUAAGUGUAGGCAGGUGGACGAAUGACCAAGGUGGAGCCGGAGGGAUGAGGGAGCCUGGCGGAGCUGGUGGGCUAACGGGCCACGGUGGAGACAAGGGAGCCAGGAGCCAAGAAGCCAAUGGGAAGAAUUGCUUUUGGACCCCACAUCUGACAACCAGAGACGCAUACACACGGAAAGAGCACUGCAUCUUUACAUUUGUUCAGUUAAAAUAAACAUAUUUUGCUCCUUACAACAUGUCUGUUUUCUUUGGUUAACCUGAAAGUAAAAGGCCCGGGGUCUGUGUCGGAGGUAGAGCGAUGACUGACCAAGGCUCGAGGGACGAGUGAGCCCAGUGGAACCUGAGGGGUGAUAAUGGUGACAAUGGUGGAACCGACGGAGCGUGGAGCCGACGCCUCAACAGACCUGGGUGGAGUCAUGGGCUCAGAGGCUUGACGUGGAGAAGGAGGAUCCGUGCACAAUGGCUGAGUUGAGGUCAGGUUUUUUUUUUUCUGUUGUUCUGUCUUUUCCAUAUUCGCUGUGUAUACUGGAUUUGUCCCGGCCUUCCAGUGGUUCUGAGGAGGGUUUGGACUGGCGAGCCUCCCUUGAGUUUGUUCUUGGAUCUUUCUGUUGAAGAAGUAUUCACACUGAUUGAACUGCGAAUGGUAGGAAAAAGACUAACUUUCCUCAUCUUUUUUUUUUUUUUUCCCGGAUGGAGACCUUUUUCAUUACCAACAGAAAAAGGACAAUUAUUAUUAUUUUUUUUCCUCUAAAAACUUUCCAAAGCACUCUUUCACAAGGACUGCACAUUCUGAUUGGAUUCCAUCUGAAAAAAAAAAAAAAACAUUUGUUGUGUAAUUGGGUUGUAUGUUUUUUAUUUGGGAUUUACCUUGUUGAAACCCAAAGAGAAAAAAAAAUGAGACCUAAAGUGUUGAGAUCUUACAUUCUGGUUGAAAAA
Long non-coding RNA from Cyprinus carpio carpio, 1904 nucleotides. The record is from Ensembl. NCBI's taxonomy places the organism in Eukaryota, Metazoa, Chordata, Actinopteri, Cypriniformes, Cyprinidae.